AAUCGUGGACCUGAAGAAAGGGAAAAGAAAACAGGGACCUAAUGUCCUCUGCGUUGAUGGCGGCAACUACAUUGUUGACAUGCUGCCUCUCUCCGCUGGCGCAGUCGGGCGAUUGAUGCGCUUGAGGAUCGCCAUUGCUCGAGAUCGUUCUCGUCGAGUUAUACGAAUCAGCAUCUUCUUUAUUUAUUUGCUCUCUCCUUCGAGUUAUACGAAUCGGCAUCUUCUUAAUUUAUUCGCUCUCUCCUUCGUUCUCGUCGAGUUAUAUGAAUCGGCAUCUUCUUUAUUUCUUCGCUCUCUCCUUAUACAUCCUCUUCUUUUUUAUAGAUCCUUAUUCUGUCGACCCCUUCUCGUGCCCUAAUUGCUAAGGUGGCAGAAAAAUAUUCCGCGGAUUUUCAAUCCACACCAGAAGUCAGUCGGCGAUCAAGACCUAAUGAUGCUAGUUUUCACUGGAGGGAAGCAGAGGAGUGCAAGUGAGUAGCAGUUCGCAUUUCAAGGUUUCUCAAAUGUCAACUUCAAACCUCUCCCCACACGAGGCAUUCAAGUAAGAAAAAUCUUUGCAUAAUGGAGAAAGUCUCAUUGUCAGCAUCUUAUGGCUAGCCUUAGUGAUGACGGUGGAAGAGACUUUUGAUGAUGUUAUCAUGAGGCAGGGAUGCCAACUUAUUGAAGUUCAGAGUGACAUUAAGAAAGUUAAAGGUUCACCCACCAAGAGAAAUCUGUAAAAGAUCAUACCAAUAAGAAUCCAACUGCUCUAAGAUAAUAUCAUCAGGUUGAGUAUGGACCCUUACAAAAGAAGAGAUUGCAAAGUAAGUUUUAAAAUAAAGACUUCAUCAAAAGUUAUUGUUGAUGGUGCAAUGCCACUGGUGUUAACAUUAGAUUAGCAUACCAAAUCAGCUAGAAAUAGAAAAACUGUACAAUACAAGUUUUUCAUUUCAAAGGGUGCAUAAUAAGAGAAGAUCAAGCUUGCAAAGUUUGACCCGCAACUGCACUUUUCUAUUUAACAUUUUUUAAGUCUAAAAUCCAGUGGCCCAGACAUGAAAGCGAAGGAUGAAAAUCCAUCGAGGGAGUUACUGUCAACAAUGACAUGGGCAGAUGGUAAGGAGGAGGUUUCGGGAGCUGUUGGUGUCCAUCACGUGAGGGUGUAACUCCGCCUUAUAAAGGUCAUAAUCAUUAAGUUUCCUAUUGUGAACAACCUUACUAUGGAGGCGCUAGAUAGCUAUCAUAUGAUGCUCUCUCUCGCUGAAUCGUUUUCUACUCCAUUUGUGAUCAAGGCAAUCAUCAAACUGGGAAUACCCAAUAUUCUGGCGAAGUCGGACAAGCCAAUCCACGUUGAUGAGAUGUGUACCAUUCUCCAAGCUGCAACAGGCCAGGCUCACAACUCGGAAAUUGUUCGAAGGCUCAUGCAAUCUCUUUGCAGGAAGAACAUAUUUGAAGAGCAGCCCGCUGGAGUCUUUGGGCACAACUCUCUAUCGCGCUGGCUCAUAGACGGCACUCCAAAAUCGCUCGCAUCCUUCUUCCUGUUGACAACCUCAGAGGCAGGGCAAGCUGCUUGGCACCAUCUGCACGAACUGGCUUUGGAAGUGACUUCGUCUUCAACUUCUGCAUUUGCUAAGGCUCAUGGGAAAAGCAUCUUUGAAUUUGCUGCGAACGACCCUGUUUUUGCAGACUUAUGGUUCGGAUUUCUUGAUAGCUUUGGUCACAUCAUCAUCAACGGGGUGCUGGAAGGCUACGAUGGUUUCCAAAGCGUUGCUCAAGUUCUUGUAGAUGUUGGAGGGGGCACUGGCCUGAGUGUGUCAAAGAUUGUGCAAGCCUUUCCACACAUCAAGGGAGUGAACUUUGAUCUUCCACAUACAAUUGCAAGUGGCACUCAAAACUUUCCAGGUUCUCUCUCUCUCUCUCUCUCUCUAAUCUUUCUUUGAAAUUUAGGAGUAGAACAUAUUGCUGGGGACAUGUUUGAGUCCGUUCCAAAAGGGGAUGCGAUAUACAUGCAGGUGCGUGUAAGCUCAAGAUAAAAGACCCUGAGAGCUUUAGAAUCUGCAGAAAGUUUUGCACAAUUGGAACGACGAAAAGGCUAAAGCUGUACUCAAAAACUGCUACAAUGCACUGCCAGUCGGUGGGAAAAUCAUAAUCGUGGACCAUAUAUUCGAUCCACACCAGAAGGCAGUCGUCGAUCAAGACCUGGGGAUGCUAGUUUUCACUGGAGGGAAACAGAGGAGUGCAAGCGAGUGGAGAGAGCUGCUCGCGUCGCAAGGUUUCUCAAACGUCAACUUCAAACCUCUCCCCGCAGUCAAGUCUCAAGCUGUCAUCGAGGCAUUCAAGUAACAAAGACCUCUGCAUAAUGGACCAAGUCUCACCCAUGAAAAAAUAAAUAAAUAAAUUCUGUAAGAGAUCAUACCCAUCUCUAAUAAGAAUCCUGCUUCUCUAAGAUAAUAACCAUCGGAUAAUAGUUAUGACCGU
Molecule: long non-coding RNA, 2454 nt
Filed under: Selaginella moellendorffii
Lineage: Eukaryota; Viridiplantae; Streptophyta; Lycopodiopsida; Selaginellales; Selaginellaceae
Description: long non-coding RNA (SMOE_LNC001317)
Source: RNAcentral